UUGUGGAGGAGGACGCCGAAGGUGGGGCUAAUGACUGGGGUGAAGUCGUAACAAGGUAGCCGUACCGGAAGGUGCGGCUGGAUCACCUCCCAACAGGGAGACAACAAAAUGUAAAUAUUAAUUUUGUCACCUUAGGUCGAUCGGUAUCUCAGAUUCUUAUUAUUUAAGAAUUUCAGUUUCUAAGUUUUUUCUAGGUCACACCCAUCACUUUUUCCUGGGCCAUUAGCUCAGGUGGUUAGAGCGCACCCCUGAUAAGGGUGAGGUCCCUGGUUCAAGUCCAGGAUGGCCCAUAUCUCUAUGUUGGGGGUAUAGCUCAGUUGGUAGAGCGCCUGCUUUGCAAGCAGGAUGUCAGCGGUUCGAGUCCGCUUACCUCCACUGAAUACCACCUCUUACAUAUAGUUGAAGUGGGAAAUUGUUUUGAGUCGUGUCCUAAUUUGCUCUGAGCGAAUCUAGCUUCCUAUUUUAUCCAAGAAAUAAGAUGCUGGACUCAUUGAAUUUUUUUUCAUUGUUUUCAGAGAACCUUGACAACUGCAUAGAUUAUUUUUAAAGACAAUAAGCAUCUUUAAUGAUGCAGAUUUAUUAUUUGUGCGAAUGCAUUAAAUAACAAUUCUAUUAAGCUGAUGCUUCAAUUAUUGAAGUUAUUGGUCAAGCUACAA
RNAcentral lists this unclassified non-coding RNA (656 nucleotides) under uncultured Prochlorococcus sp. RNAcentral's name for it is "partial 16S-23S ribosomal RNA intergenic spacer; may also contain 16S ribosomal RNA and 23S ribosomal RNA". The stretch from base 303 to 375 matches the Rfam family "tRNA". The record is from RNAcentral. Lineage: Bacteria; Bacillati; Cyanobacteriota; Cyanophyceae; Synechococcales; Prochlorococcaceae.